This is a long non-coding RNA of Perognathus longimembris pacificus (Pacific pocket mouse), 247 nucleotides long. RefSeq lists it as uncharacterized. The record is from RefSeq and is a predicted model, not a curated record. The transcript is spliced from 3 exons. NCBI's taxonomy places the organism in Eukaryota, Metazoa, Chordata, Mammalia, Rodentia, Heteromyidae.
GAAAAAGUAUGAAAAAGAAACUAUAUUAAAUCUUGAAAAUGCCAAGAAAAGACACAACAUGCUGAAAAUAAAAUAACCAGUGUUGCUAAUGAGAGCUUUCUAGUUCCCAAAUUUUGAAAGCAUUAAUGAACAUUUAAGUGGCUAAAAAAUUCUGAAAACUAUCAACCUUAUCUGUAUCAAACAACAUGUAGACAGUAUUACAAACUCAGGGGUUAUGGGCUUUUACCUGAAAACAAGUUGGAGGCCU